GAAAUCCAAUAACUCUCCUGACUGACUCAACCUAUUCAUUAAGACACUGGGAAGAAAAACACUUCCAUAGAAAAACAGAAACUAUAUUAGGCAUUUCAACAUAGAGCCUAUACAAGGAAUGGUUAAACAGACAGUAGAAGAUUGAAAAAGCAAAAAGGGAACUCUGAGGCAACAACGAGGCUCAGCUUGGGCCUCAGACUUUUGAGGAGGGGACAUUGCCCAAAUGAUUCUGGUACAGCAGAGGGGCACAGUGUGGCUGGCUCUGGAGUGCUAAAAGAAUGUAGAGACUUUGGCUAUUAACAGCUUUCUGACCAAUAAACCAACUGCAGAUGAUUCUAGUCAUUCAAUUGUGGAAGCAUUUGGAAGGCAGAAGAUUCUGCAUCUUCAGGCACUGGAUUUACCACCAGCACCAGCAGAUACUCCCUCCGGAGACCCUUGCCAUUGAAUUGAGGACUGGGCUCUCAGAUAGCUCUUGAUAAGUCUGGGUUUGCUUAACUCAAUAACCCCACAGAAAACACCUUGGAGAAGGGUUCGAUUUACAUGGGCAUUUGAAGCACUGAAGCCUUAUAAAUUUGCUUUGAAAAUUUCAGUGAAGAAGAGGGAAGCAAAAGAGAGAUGGGGGGAAGAGAGAGACUUGAGAGAAAAAUGUUUCCACAAGAACAAGCAAAUCCUGCAGCCUGCUGUGCAGCAAGUGCCCUGCCUACAGAUGUGGGAAGAUUUAUGGACUGGAACUAUAGAUUUCUACUUUUGUGUAGUUGGAUGGAGCUGUUAGUGAAUUUAUCCUUUAAGAUGCCAUCAGUUAGCUGUAUCUUUAAUAUGCAUUAAUUUGUUAAGAAGUGGAGUGUUUUUUUUCAGUCACUCAGCAAAUAAAAUGUAUAGUCAAGGUAUCCUAAUUCUUUCUAAACAUCAUUCCCUCUACAAGCACAAGACCUACACACUACCUCCUAAAUAUCCAGAAACACUCAAUCUGGUGCCUCACUCUAGCCUACACUUGCUAUCCAC
RNAcentral lists this long non-coding RNA (1002 nucleotides) under Equus caballus (horse). RNAcentral describes it as "lncRNA (ENSECAG00000056261.1)". Lineage: Eukaryota; Metazoa; Chordata; Mammalia; Perissodactyla; Equidae. The record is from RNAcentral.